RNAcentral lists this long non-coding RNA (793 nucleotides) under Coturnix japonica (Japanese quail). RNAcentral's name for it is "lncRNA (ENSCJPG00005012435.1)". Lineage: Eukaryota; Metazoa; Chordata; Aves; Galliformes; Phasianidae. The record is from RNAcentral.
GUUUGUAGUCUCUCAGGAUAUUUUAGAAUUAUACAUCAUAUUUAUGAAUUGUGAUGUGUACUAGCACAUAAUGGUAGAUUGCAGCAUCUUUGUUAGUUGUUGCUCACACAGGGCUCCCUCAGAGACCUAUGGGAACCAGGUACAAGCUCUCAGGAAUGAGUUAACUUGGAUUGAACUCGUUCAUGCUUAAGAAAGAAGAUGGACUGUGGUGUCUACAGCUGCUUCACUGCACUGCAGGUCAAGUUUUAAGAAGACAUAGAAGCCAGGAAACGUUCAUCUGGCUAGAUCCCUAACUUUUCCAGCACUUAAGCUCUGUGCUGUGAAUAGUCUUAUUGAUUUCAGUGGGAUUAUUUAUAGUACAUAAAGUUAAAUCAUGGGUGAGCUUUGCAGGAUUGAGAUCCGCAGAGACAACUGGCAGAUUUAAAGCAUGUCGUUCCAAAAUGCAUUGAGGAAUUCUCUGUUUUGCUCUAAGUGUGCUUUAUUACACAAAACUAAUCUCCUAGUUACAACUAAUCUCUUGGAGCCUGAUUCCAUUCAUCCUUAUUUCAGCUUUUUACAGAAUACGUCCACUGUAUAAAUUGGAUUAGUCCUCCCCAAAACUGUGGAGUUACAGCUGUUUACAGUGACUGGGGAUCUGGCCCAUAAACUUAACUGGAAAGCUUUCUGCUGCACAACAGUAUAAUUAGACUGAAAGACUUAUUUUCAAGGGUUGUUACUACCUGAAAAUGAAUGCUCACCAGAGCAUCAUUAGCAAAAUAGCGAAGUUACUUCCUGAGGAUGCUAAAAAUCCAAG